Molecule: ribosomal RNA, 484 nt
Filed under: uncultured bacterium
Lineage: Bacteria
Description: partial 16S ribosomal RNA
Rfam family: Bacterial small subunit ribosomal RNA
Source: RNAcentral
GACGAACGCUGGCGGCGUGCUUAACACAUGCAAGUCGAACGAUGAAGCCGGAGCUUGCUCUGGUGAUUUAGUGGCGAACGGGUGAGUAACACGUGAGUAACCUGCCCUUGACUCUGGGAUAACUGCGGGAAACUGUAGCUAAUACCGGAUACGACCCUCGGAGGCAUCUCCUGGGGGUGGAAAGAAUUUCGGUCAAGGAUGGACUCGCGGCCUAUCAGCUAGUUGGUGAGGUAAAGGCUCACCAAGGCGACGACGGGUGGCCGGCCUGAGAGGGUGACCGGCCACACUGGGACUGAGACACGGCCCAGACUCCUACGGGAGGCAGCAGUGGGGAAUAUUGCACAAUGGGCGCAAGCCUGAUGCAGCAACGCCGCGUGAGGGAUGACGGCCUUCGGGUUGUAAACCUCUUUUAGCAGGGAAGAAGCGAAAGUGACGGUACCUGCAGAAAAAGCACCGGCUAACUACGUGCCAGCAGCCGCCGUAA